Molecule: transfer RNA, 94 nt
Filed under: Lentinula raphanica
Lineage: Eukaryota; Fungi; Basidiomycota; Agaricomycetes; Agaricales; Omphalotaceae
Description: tRNA-Ala
Rfam family: tRNA
About the family: Transfer RNA (tRNA) molecules are approximately 80 nucleotides in length.
Source: RNAcentral
GGGCACUUGGCUCAGUUGGUAGCGCGCUCGCUUCGCAUGUGCUUGGUAGCAGUGUGAUUGCGAGAGGUCAGGAGUUCGAUUCUCCUAGUGUCCA